GUGAAUCAUCAAAUCUUUGAACGCAAAUUGCACUCUCUGGCAUUCCGGGGAGUAUGCCUGUUUGAGGGUCAGUUUAAAUAAAAAUCGAGGUGUUGCUGUUUUUUUACCCAGCGGAAUUGGGGUACCUGUGACGUUUUAAAAAUUUUAAUUGACGUAAAAUUGAUACCUUGUUCAUCUCAGACGUACGAAAGAAUAUUAUUUUAUCUGUCCGUAGUUUCCAACUUUUUAUUAAAUAUGACAAUGCUUUUUG
Molecule: unclassified non-coding RNA, 250 nt
Filed under: Glomeromycetes sp.
Lineage: Eukaryota; Fungi; Glomeromycota; Glomeromycetes
Description: partial contains 5.8S ribosomal RNA and internal transcribed spacer 2
Rfam family: 5.8S ribosomal RNA (bases 1-71)
Source: RNAcentral